This 654-nucleotide ribosomal RNA is filed under the name Aurantiochytrium limacinum. RNAcentral's name for it is "partial Bacterial large subunit ribosomal RNA". It matches the Rfam family "Bacterial large subunit ribosomal RNA", at positions 801 to 1427 of the family's 2925-position model. Lineage: Eukaryota; Bigyra; Thraustochytrida; Thraustochytriidae. The record is from RNAcentral.
GGGAUGAGCUGUGGAUAGGGGUGAAAGGCCAAUCAAACUUCGUGAUAGCUGGUUCUCUCCGAAAUGCAUUUAGGUGCAGCGUCGUAUUAUAGCUUGGUGGAGGUAGAGCGACUGGUUGGUUGAGCGGGACUACAAUCUUAGCAAUGUCAGCCAAACUCCGAAUGCCACUAAUUGUGUUGUACGGCAGUGAGACUGUGGGGGAUAAGCUUCAUAGUCGAGAGGGAAACAGCCCAGAUCGCCGGCUAAGGUCCCCAAGUCGUGGCUAAGUGGGAAAGGAUGUGGGACUCCCAAAACAACCAGGAGGUUGGCUUAGAAGCAGCCAUCCUUGAAAGAGUGCGUAAUAGCUCACUGGUCAAGUGAUUCCGCGCCGACAAUGUAACGGGGCUCAAGCACACCGCCGAAGUCGUGGAAUUCGUAUUAUUGGUAGGCCUUCGUGGUCCAGCCGUGUUGAUGGGUAGGAGAGCGUCGUGUGGGCGGUGAAGCGGCCGAGUGAUCGAGCCGUGGAGGCCACACGAGUGAGAAUGCAGGCAUGAGUAGCGAAAGACGGGUGAGAAACCCGUCCGCCGGAUGACUAAGGGUUCCAGGGUCAAGCUAAUCUGCCCUGGGUAAGUCGGGACCUAAGGCGAGGCCGAAAGGCGUAGUCGAUGGACAACA